RNAcentral lists this ribosomal RNA (825 nucleotides) under uncultured bacterium. RNAcentral's name for it is "bacterial SSU rRNA". It matches the Rfam family "Bacterial small subunit ribosomal RNA", at positions 61 to 883 of the family's 1533-position model. The record is from RNAcentral.
GUCGAGGGGCAGCAGGAUCUAGCAAUAGAUUGCUGGCGACCGGCGCACGGGUGAGUAACACGUAUCCAACCUGCCGAUAACUCGGGGAUAGCCUUUCGAAAGAAAGAUUAAUACCCGAUGGUAUAAUCAGACCGCAUGGUUUGAUUAUUAAAGAAUUUCGGCUAUCGAUGGGGAUGCGUUCCAUUAGGCAGUUGGUGAGGUAACGGCUCACCAAACCUUCGAUGGAUAGGGGUUCUGAGAGGAAGGUCCCCCACAUUGGAACUGAGACACGGUCCAAACUCCUACGGGAGGCAGCAGUGAGGAAUAUUGGUCAAUGGGCGCAGGCCUGAACCAGCCAAGUAGCGUGAAGGAUGACUGCCCUAUGGGUUGUAAACUUCUUUUAUAUGGGAAUAAAGUUUUCCACGUGUGGAAUUUUGUAUGUACCAUAUGAAUAAGGAUCGGCUAACUCCGUGCCAGCAGCCGCGGUAAUACGGAGGAUCCGAGCGUUAUCCGGAUUUAUUGGGUUUAAAGGGAGCGUAGGUGGACAGUUAAGUCAGUUGUGAAAGUUUGCGGCUCAACCGUAAAAUUGCAGUUGAUACUGGCUGUCUUGAGUACAGUAGAGGUGGGCGGAAUUCGUGGUGUAGCGGUGAAAUGCUUAGAUAUCACGAAGAACUCCGAUUGCGAAGGCAGCUCACUGGACUGCAACUGACACUGAUGCUCGAAAGUGUGGGUAUCAAACAGGAUUAGAUACCCUGGUAGUCCACACAGUAAACGAUGAAUACUCGCUGUUUGCGAUAUACAGUAAGCGGCCAAGCGAAAGCAUUAAGUAUUCCACCUGGGGAGUAC